RNAcentral lists this ribosomal RNA (300 nucleotides) under uncultured bacterium. RNAcentral's name for it is "bacterial SSU rRNA". It matches the Rfam family "Bacterial small subunit ribosomal RNA", at positions 114 to 417 of the family's 1533-position model. The record is from RNAcentral.
CGCGUGGGAAUCUACCUAGUAGUUGGGACAACCUGGUGAAAACCAGGCUAAUACCGAAUACGCCCUACGGGGAAAGAUAGCCUCUUCUUGAAAGCUUUCGCUAUUAGAUGAGCCCGCGUUAGAUUAGCUAGAUGGUGUGGUAACGGCACACCAUGGCAACGAUAGAUAGGGGCCCUGAGAGGGGGAUCCCCCACACUGGUACUGAGACACGGACCAGACUCCUACGGGAGGCAGCAGUGAGGAAUAUUGGACAAUGGAGGUAACUCUGAUCCAGCCACGCCGCGUGCAGGAAGACUGCCC